Molecule: non-coding RNA, 72 nt
Organism: Potamilus streckersoni
Lineage: Eukaryota; Metazoa; Mollusca; Bivalvia; Unionida; Unionidae
Source: the annotation of a GenBank genome assembly
UUUAGUGGCCUAGUGGUUAGAGUGUCUGCCUCGGAUGUAGGAGGUCGCUGGUUCAAAUCCUGGCCGAGUCAU